This 253-nucleotide ribosomal RNA is filed under the name uncultured bacterium. Its description in RNAcentral is "partial 16S ribosomal RNA". It matches the Rfam family "Bacterial small subunit ribosomal RNA", at positions 524 to 776 of the family's 1533-position model. The record is from RNAcentral.
UACGUAGGGUCCGAGCGUUGUCCGGAAUUAUUGGGCGUAAAGAGCUCGUAGGCGGUCUGUCGCGUCGGUUGUGAAAACCCGGGGCUCAACCCCGGGCCUGCAGUCGAUACGGGCAGACUAGAGUGUGGUAGGGGAGACUGGAAUUCCUGGUGUAGCGGUGAAAUGCGCAGAUAUCAGGAGGAACACCGGUGGCGAAGGCGGGUCUCUGGGCCAUAACUGACGCUGAGGAGCGAAAGCGUGGGGAGCGAACAGG